GCUCAGGACGAACGCUGGCGGCGUGCCUAAUACAUGCAAGUCGAGCGGACAGAAGGGAGCUUGCUCCCGGAUGUUAGCGGCGGACGGGUGAGUAACACGUGGUAACCUGCCUGUAAGACUGGGAUAACUCCGGGAAACCGGAGCUAAUACCGGAUAGUUCCUUGAACCGCAUGGUUCAAGGAUGAAAGACGGUUUCGGCUGUCACUUACAGAUGGACCCGCGGCGCAUAGCUAGUUGGUGGGGUAAUGGCUCACCAAGGCGACGAUGCGUAGCCGACCUGAGAGGGUGAUCGGCCACACUGGGACUGAGACACGGCCCAGACUCCUACGGGAGGCAGCAGUAGGGAAUCUUCCGAAUGGACGAAAGUCUGACGGAGCAACGCCGCGUGAGUGAUGAAGGUUUUCGGAUCGUAAAGCUCUGUUGUUAGGGAAGAACAAGUGCGAGAGUAACUGCUCGCACCUUGACGGUACCUAACCAGAAACCACGGCUAACUACGUGCCAGCAGCCGCGGUAAUACGUAGGUGGCAAGCGUUGUCCGGAAUUAUUGGGCGUAAAGGGCUCGCAGGCGGUUUCUUAAGUCUGAUGUGAAAGCCCCCGGCUCAACCGGGAGGGUCAUUGGAAACUGGGAAACUUGAGUGCAGAAGAGGAGAGUGGAAUUCCACGUGUAGCGGUGAAAUGCGUAGAGAUGUGGAGGAACACCAGUGGCGAAGGCGACUCUCUGGUCUGUACUGACGCGAGGAGCGAAAGCGUGGGGAGCGAACAGCGUAUUAGAUACCCUGGUAGUCCACGCCGUAAACGAUGAGUGCUAAGUGUUAGGGGGUUUCCGCCCCUUAGUGCUGCAGCUAACGCAUUAAGCACUCCGCUGGGGAGUACGGUCGCAAGACUGAAACUCAAAGGAAUUGACGGGGGCCCGCACAAGCGGUGGAGCAUGUGGUUUAAUUCGAAGCAACGCGAAGAACCUUACCAGGUCUUGACAUCCUCUGACAACCUAGAGAUAGGGCUUUCCCUUCGGGGACAGAGUGACAGGUGGUGCAUGGUUGUCGUCAGCUCGUGUCGUGAGAUGUUGGGUUAAGUCCCGCAACGAGCGCAACCCUUGAUCUUAGUUGCCAGCAUUCA
RNAcentral lists this ribosomal RNA (1116 nucleotides) under Bacillus zhangzhouensis. RNAcentral describes it as "bacterial SSU rRNA". It matches the Rfam family "Bacterial small subunit ribosomal RNA", at positions 22 to 1127 of the family's 1533-position model. The record is from RNAcentral. Lineage: Bacteria; Bacillati; Bacillota; Bacilli; Caryophanales; Bacillaceae.